RNAcentral lists this transfer RNA (65 nucleotides) under Nitidulidae sp. BMNH 1274727. Its description in RNAcentral is "tRNA-Trp". Lineage: Eukaryota; Metazoa; Arthropoda; Insecta; Coleoptera; Nitidulidae. The record is from RNAcentral.
AAGGAUUUAAGUUAAAUUUAAACUCAUAGCCUUCAAAGCUAUAAAUAGAUAUUGUCUAAGCCUUA